GACGAACGCUGGCGGCGUGCUUAACACAUGCAAGUCGAACGGAAAGGCCCUGCUUUUGUGGGGUGCUCGAUUGGCGAACGGGUGAGUAACACGUGAGUAACCUGCCCUUGACUUUGGGAUAACUUCAGGAAACUGGGGCUAAUACCGGAUAGGAGCUCCUGCUGCAUGGUGGGGGUUGGAAAGUUUCGGCGGUUGGGGAUGGACUCGCGGCUUAUCAGCUUGUUUGUGGGGUAGUGGCUUACCAAGGCUUUGACGGGUAGCCGGCCUGAGAGGGUGACCGGGCACAUUGGGACUGAGAGAGGGCCCAGACUCCUACGGGAGGCAGCAGGGGGGAAUAUGGCACAAUGGGCGGAAGCCUGAUGCAGAAACGCCGGGUGCGGGAUGCCGGCCUUCGGGUGGUAAACCGAUUUCGCCUGUGACGAAGCGUGAGUGACGGUAACGGGUAAAGAAGCACCGGCUAACUACGUG
RNAcentral lists this ribosomal RNA (468 nucleotides) under uncultured bacterium. RNAcentral's name for it is "partial 16S ribosomal RNA". It matches the Rfam family "Bacterial small subunit ribosomal RNA", at positions 28 to 507 of the family's 1533-position model. The record is from RNAcentral.